Molecule: long non-coding RNA, 422 nt
Filed under: Mytilus galloprovincialis (Mediterranean mussel)
Lineage: Eukaryota; Metazoa; Mollusca; Bivalvia; Mytilida; Mytilidae
Source: RNAcentral
AGGAAACAAGGUGUAUGCGAGCUUUUAGCGCGCUACUACACCUGUAUCGGGCCGAGUACAAAUACAGCUGAUAUUUAAAGACACUAGACAGUUAUUGUCUUUAUCCUGUAAUUAAUUCUGUAUAUUGUUUGUGUUUUGAAAGACACAAAAACUAACAUAUUUAGCAUUUAUUUUCGAUUUGUAAUCCCUUGAGGCCCGCGUAGUAAUAUCAAAAUCACACAUUACGCUGAAGACGGGUUCGCAAAAAAGAAUCUCGAAUGGUCAACAAUAAUACAUCGCUCAAGGUGAAUAAUUAUCUAUUUUAACACAACAACUAAUUUCAACAGUAAAAACAAAUAACAAAACAUUGUCAAAUUUGAAACAGAAGUGUACGAGUUGUUCUACGCUUCAGACUUGACAUUCACUAAACAUGCAUGCUGAAA